RNAcentral lists this transfer RNA (72 nucleotides) under Bos taurus (domestic cattle). It matches the Rfam family "tRNA". Rfam says of the family: Transfer RNA (tRNA) molecules are approximately 80 nucleotides in length. Lineage: Eukaryota; Metazoa; Chordata; Mammalia; Artiodactyla; Bovidae. The record is from Rfam by way of RNAcentral. RNAcentral also lists the same sequence under 2 other names.
UCCCUGGUAGCUCAGUGGGUAGAGAAUCUGCCUGCAGUACAGAAGAACCCGGUUCAAUUUCUGGAUGGGGAA